RNAcentral lists this ribosomal RNA (253 nucleotides) under uncultured bacterium. Its description in RNAcentral is "partial 16S ribosomal RNA". It matches the Rfam family "Bacterial small subunit ribosomal RNA", at positions 524 to 776 of the family's 1533-position model. The record is from RNAcentral.
UACGGAGGGAGCUAGCGUUGUUCGGAAUUACUGGGCGUAAAGCGCACGUAGGCGGCUAUUCAAGUCGGGGGUGAAAGCCCGGGGCUCAACUCCGGAAUUGCCUUUAAGACUGCAUCGCUAGAAUUGUGGAGAGGUAAGUGGAAUUCCGAGUGUAGAGGUGAAAUUCGUAGAUAUUCGGAAGAACACCAGUGGCGAAGGCGACUUACUGGACACAUAUUGACGCUGAGGUGCGAAAGCGUGGGGAGCAAACAGG